CCUACGGGAGGCUGCAGUGAGGAAUAUUGGUCAAUGGGCGGGAGCCUGAACCAGCCAAGUCGCGUGAGGGAAGACGGCCCUAUGGAUUGUAAACCUCUUUAGCCGGGGAGCAAUGCCGGGCACGUGUGCCCGGACGGAUAGUACCCGCAGACAAAGCAUCGGCUAACUCCGUGCCAGCAGCCGCGGUAAUACGGAGGAUGCGAGCGUUCUCCGGAUUUAUUGGGUUUAAAGGGUGCGUAGGCGGAUUGUUAAGUCAGCGGUAAAAGGUCGGGGCUCAACCCGGCCCGGCCGUUGAAACUGGGGAUCUUGAGUGGGCGAGAAGUAGGCGGAAUGCGUGGUGUAGCGGUGAAAUGCAUAGAUAUCACGCAGAACUCCGAUUGCGAAGGCAGCAUACCGGAGCCCGACUGACGCUGAGGCACGAAAGCGUGGGGAUCGAACAGGAUUAGAUACCCUUGUAGUC
RNAcentral lists this ribosomal RNA (460 nucleotides) under uncultured bacterium. Its description in RNAcentral is "partial 16S ribosomal RNA". It matches the Rfam family "Bacterial small subunit ribosomal RNA", at positions 338 to 795 of the family's 1533-position model. The record is from RNAcentral.